GUUUAUGUAGCUUAAUUAAAGCAUGGCACUGAAGAUGCUAAGAUAAAUUUUAAGACAUUUCAAAAACA
RNAcentral lists this transfer RNA (68 nucleotides) under Liua shihi (Wushan salamander). RNAcentral's name for it is "tRNA-Phe". It matches the Rfam family "tRNA". Rfam says of the family: Transfer RNA (tRNA) molecules are approximately 80 nucleotides in length. Their secondary structure includes four short double-helical elements and three loops (D, anti-codon, and T loops). The record is from RNAcentral. Lineage: Eukaryota; Metazoa; Chordata; Amphibia; Caudata; Hynobiidae.